This 182-nucleotide non-coding RNA is filed under the name Thalassotalea sp. PP2-459. RNAcentral's name for it is "6S / SsrS RNA". It matches the Rfam family "6S / SsrS RNA". Rfam says of the family: E. coli 6S RNA was the first non coding RNA to be sequenced, but its function was unknown until recently. The record is from Rfam by way of RNAcentral. RNAcentral also lists the same sequence under 1 other name. Lineage: Bacteria; Pseudomonadati; Pseudomonadota; Gammaproteobacteria; Alteromonadales; Colwelliaceae.
AGUCUUCUGGGGUGUUAGUGUGCGAACUAUGUCCCUGAGCCGAUAAGUUUUACCUAAGGGAGUUAAGUAGUAUCUAUUGUGCAAGCCCAACGCGUAUUGGGAAGCCUACGGAUAUUGCACGAUUCCCGCCCUGAACACACGGUGUUCAGGACUAAUGUUGGCCACUGCAUUCUGGAAGCUUU